AUUGAACGCUGGCGGCAUGCCUUACACAUGCAAGUCGAACGGCAGCACGGGAGCAAUCCUGGUGGCGAGUGGCGAACGGGUGAGUAAUAUAUCGGAACGUGCCCAGUCGUGGGGAUAACGUAGCGAAAGCUACGCUAAUACCGCAUACUAUCUAUGGAUGAAAGCGGGGGAUCGCAAGACCUCGCGCGAUUGGAGCGGCCGAUAUCAGAUUAGGUAGUUGGUGAGGUAAAGGCUCACCAAGCCGACGAUCUGUAGCUGGUCUGAGAGGACGACCAGCCACACUGGGACUGAGACACGGCCCAGACUCCUACGGGAGGCAGCAGUGGGGAAUUUUGGACAAUGGGCGCAAGCCUGAUCCAGCAAUGCCGCGUGCAGGAUGAA
RNAcentral lists this ribosomal RNA (381 nucleotides) under uncultured bacterium. Its description in RNAcentral is "bacterial SSU rRNA". It matches the Rfam family "Bacterial small subunit ribosomal RNA", at positions 30 to 412 of the family's 1533-position model. The record is from RNAcentral.